UACGGGGGGAGCAAGCGUUGUUCGGAUUUACUGGGCGUAAAGGGCGCGUAGGCGGCGUGACAAGUCACUUGUGAAAUCUCCGGGCUUAACUCGGAACGGUCAAGUGAUACUGUCGUGCUAGAGUACAGAAGGGGCAACUGGAAUUCUCGGUGUAGCGGUGAAAUGCGUAGAUAUCAGAGGAACACCUGCGGCGAAGGCGGCAUCCUGGACCGGCAUUGACGCUGAUGAGCGAAAGCUAGGGGAGCAAACGGG
Molecule: ribosomal RNA, 252 nt
Filed under: uncultured bacterium
Lineage: Bacteria
Description: partial 16S ribosomal RNA
Rfam family: Bacterial small subunit ribosomal RNA
Source: RNAcentral